CUGUUAUUGGCUAGAAGACAAGAAGUUAACGUGGAGAUUUUUAACUAACAAGAAAAACUUGCAUAAGCAUGUGGAGGAGUGGAAUGAGGAUGAGAUCAACAAGAAGGCUGAAAGUAUCAAGAAACAUCUACAGUGUGCAAGAAAAUACUGCUCCAUUUGCUCAUAUUUAUAUCAGGAGGUGUCUGACGAGUGGAUCAGUGCAUCAUAAACUAAAAAUAAAUGGAAG
RNAcentral lists this unclassified non-coding RNA (226 nucleotides) under Hevea brasiliensis (rubber tree). The record is from RNAcentral. Lineage: Eukaryota; Viridiplantae; Streptophyta; Magnoliopsida; Malpighiales; Euphorbiaceae.